This 100-nucleotide ribosomal RNA is filed under the name Pyramimonas parkeae. Its description in RNAcentral is "partial Bacterial small subunit ribosomal RNA". The record is from RNAcentral. Lineage: Eukaryota; Viridiplantae; Chlorophyta; Pyramimonadophyceae; Pyramimonadales; Pyramimonadaceae.
UGAUCCUGGCUCAGAAUGAACUCUAGCAAUACGCUUUACACAUGCAAGUUUAACACUGUUAUAGUGUAGCGAACGGGUGAGUAAUACGCAAGAAUCUGCC